CGUUUAUUGCAUCAUUAUUACAAUCAUCGUGGGUAUAUGGACAUUCUGCAGAAAUUGAAGGCGUUGCUCAUCAGCCAACGGGAAGCAGCAGUCUUCAGAACGCUACACAAUCACCUAACAACGAAAACAGGAGCAACUCACAAGUGAGAACAGAUCAGGGAUAUAUAUUUCCCGUUUUAAUCGUACUGUUUGGAGCUAGCCUGCCGACACUUAUUGCCUGCUAUUACUGGUGGAGAAAGCCACGCUCACAUUAUGAUCUACUCUGUCGGAGAUGCUCUGGCGCAGGUCGAAGGGAAAAGGUCCAAGUACUACCGCUCAGUCGCCUCGUGUCAGACUUGUAAUUCACUCAGUUGAAAUUACAUCAAGUAAAAAGCGAAUUGUAACUCUUUACAAUACUUUUUUGUGUAAUUAUAUACAGUGGCGUAUUGUGGGUCACGGCAUGGGGGGGGGGGCACGAAAAUAGACU
Long non-coding RNA from Lytechinus variegatus (green sea urchin), 466 nucleotides. RefSeq lists it as uncharacterized. The transcript has 4 exons. Lineage: Eukaryota; Metazoa; Echinodermata; Echinoidea; Temnopleuroida; Toxopneustidae. The record is from RefSeq and is a predicted model, not a curated record.